This 2072-nucleotide long non-coding RNA is filed under the name Homo sapiens (human). RNAcentral's name for it is "lncAB59.1". Lineage: Eukaryota; Metazoa; Chordata; Mammalia; Primates; Hominidae. The record is from RNAcentral.
UUUUUCUCUUGCUGCCACCACGUAACAAGUGCCUUUUGCCACCCGCCAUGAUUCUGAGGCCUCCCGAGCCACAUGGAACUUUUAAGAUUAUUUUGGCAGUUUCUCACUUUACAUUUUAUGAACCAACUGGCUGACAUUUACACAAUAAUGUUGCUUUGGAAUUCAAAUAAUCUUGUAGAGAAUUCGACAGUCAACAAACGGAAAGUGUAAGUACAUCCCAUCUUAAGAAAAAUCCGACCGGGUGCGGUGGCUCACGCCUAUAAUCCCAGCACUUUGGGCGGCCGAGGCAGGUGGAUCAUGAGGUCAGGAGACUGAGACCAGUGUGGCCAACAUGGUGAAACCCUGCCUCUACUAAAAAUACAAAAAAACUAGCUGGGCAUGGUGGCGCACGCCUGUAGUCCUAGCUACUCUGGAGGCUGAGGCAGGAAAAUUGCUUGAACCCAGGAGGCGGAGGUUGCAGUGAGCAGAGAUGGCGCUGCUGCACUCCAACCUGGGCGACCUCUGUCUCAAAACAACAACAACAACAACAAAACAACAACAAAAAAAGAAAAAUCCAUAAAACAAAGAAUUCAUCUAAAUAGUAGGCUCUCUGGUAUUUUUAAAGUAUCUGAUUUACAAGUUUCAAAUGUUUUGUUAACUUUAUCCACCAUUAUAAAUGUGACCAUGGAACUGAUAUACACUGGAACGGUAUGCCACUGCAAGUCUGAAGGGGUUUUAGUCACCAAUACGCUUGGACCCUACUGGCAUCUGAGUUGUAUUUUUCAAAUACUUCAAAUUUUCCAGCUUAAGUUACUAGGUCAAUAUUUAUUCUAUGCCAAGUCGAGUGACUGCUAUGAUGAAACAAUUUUUAACUGAACAUUUUUGGGUUUACAAAACACCUUUCAUAGAUGGCACUGUGGCAGAAUGACUCCCCAGAAUGUUCCCAGAACCUGUGAACAUGUUACAUAGCAAAGAGACUUUGCAGAUGUCAUUGAAAUUAUGGACCUCAAUAUCAGGAAAUUAUCCUGGAAUAUCUGGGUGGGUCUCAAUUACCUGGCCUCUUAAAAACAGAAAACUUUCUGUGGCUGGAGGUAGGACAGAUGUGGAGGAAAGUGAAGUCAGAGAUAUUUGAAGCAUAAGGAUUCCACACACCAUUGCCGGUCUGAAGAUGGAGGACUGCAUGACACUUGAAGCAACUGAGAGAGGAUCCCAGCUGACAGCAGGAAGGAAUGGGACCUCAGACCUACAAAUAUAAGCAACUGAAUUCUGUUAACAAUCUGAAUGAGCUUGGAAGCAGAUUUGCCCCCAGAGCCUAACACCUUGAUCUUGGGCUUGUGAAGACUAUAGCAGAGGAACUGGGCUAACCCACCUGGUCUUCUGAUUUACAUAAGUGUGAGAUGAUAAAUUUGUGUUGUUUUAAACUACUAAGUUUUUGGCAACUUGUUAUUGCUGCAAUAGAAAACAAAUGUACAUAUGUAUGGAAACUGAAUUCUUUUCUCAUACAUACUAGCUUCCCCCACCCCCUUCCCCCCUAAAAAAGAAAAGAGGACAAUGCCAUAAAUAAUGUAGGAGGGCAGAUGUACAACUGUCCUUUUGCUUAGCUAGACUCAUGGGUCACUAUUUGCCCAAGAAGCAUAUUGAUACAAGUAAAUUAAGGUAAAUUCCUUACCGUUUAAAAAAAAAAAAAAAGAUGGAUGACCAGCUCCUAUUAUUCCUAUUAACUAGUUAAUUUAUGUUAAAAUUCAGGAACUGACAAUGUUUUCGGAAAGAUUAUCUUCCAAAGAGUAAUUAAGAUCCAAUUUCAAGAAAUAAACUUAUUAAAAACAUUUCCUCAGUCUAGUCCCAUAGUAUUUUAAGUUUUGUCAAAGAAAACUAUUUGAUUUUUUUCUGUCCCAUUCCUAUAAUCCUCCCCUCCCCUUCAUCUGGACACCCUAGUCCAACAAUCAAAGCUAAAAUCUAGCAAUGCACUUAAGCAAAGGUACAAGAAAAAAACACCAGAAAUAGGCAUUUGGCACAAAGAGGAAGAUCACAUGAUCUUUUCAUGCCAUUUAAGUUACUGGCAACUCUCCUAAUAAAAACCAGCUAAAGCCCCA